RNAcentral lists this ribosomal RNA (243 nucleotides) under uncultured bacterium. RNAcentral's name for it is "partial 16S ribosomal RNA". It matches the Rfam family "Bacterial small subunit ribosomal RNA", at positions 527 to 769 of the family's 1533-position model. The record is from RNAcentral.
GGAGGGUGCAAGCGUUGUCCGGAAUCAUUGGGCGUAAAGAGUUCGUAGGUGGUAUGUUAAGUCUGGUGUUAAAUCCUGAGGCUCAACCUCAGUUCGGCACUGGAUACUGGCAAACUUGAAUGCGGUAGAGGUAAAGGGAAUUCCUGGUGUAGCGGUGAAAUGCGUAGAUAUCAGGAGGAACAUCGGUGGCGUAAGCGCUUUACUGGGCCGUAAUUGACACUGAGGAACGAAAGCCGGGGUAGC